GACGAACGCUGGCGGCGUGCUUAACACAUGCAAGUCGAACGAUGAUGCCCAGCUUGCUGGGUGGAUUAGUGGCGAACGGGUGAGUAACACGUGAGUAACCUGCCCCUGACUCUGGGAUAAGCGUUGGAAACGACGUCUAAUACUGGAUAUGACUGCCGGCCGCAUGGUCUGGUGGUGGAAAGAUUUUUUGGUUGGGGAUGGACUCGCGGCCUAUCAGCUUGUUGGUGAGGUAAUGGCUCACCAAGGCGACGACGGGUAGCCGGCCUGAGAGGGUGACCGGCCACACUGGGACGGAGACACUGCCCAGACUCAUACGGGAGGCAGCAGUGGGGAAUAUUGCACAAUGGGCGAAAGCCUGAUGCAGCAACGCCGCGUGAGGGAUGACGGCCUUCGGGUUGUAAACCUCUUUUAGUAGGGAAGAAGCGAAAGUGACGGUACCUGCAGAAAAAGCACCGGCUAACUACGUGCCAGCAGCCGCCGUAA
Molecule: ribosomal RNA, 483 nt
Filed under: uncultured bacterium
Lineage: Bacteria
Description: partial 16S ribosomal RNA
Rfam family: Bacterial small subunit ribosomal RNA
Source: RNAcentral